This 2947-nucleotide ribosomal RNA is filed under the name Triticum aestivum (bread wheat). Its description in RNAcentral is "partial small subunit ribosomal RNA". Lineage: Eukaryota; Viridiplantae; Streptophyta; Magnoliopsida; Poales; Poaceae. The record is from RNAcentral.
CGGACAGAAUAGCGUUAGCUCGCAUUCGUCGGCUUGCCGGCGUGAGUUACAGAGGAGCAGCCACACCAUAGAUCCCCGCUCACGGCCACUACGCGCACCAUCUGCCGUCGCGCCGCGAGCUCCGCUUGGCCGCGCCCUGCGGUAGUCACACGUGAGCUCUGCCGACACCCAGUGCGCACGGUCGACCUGCGAGCCACCUGCACCGCGUUGAACCCCACCAUGGCCUCGUGCUCGCUACCGCAGUGUCGCACGUGGCCAGCGUUGGCUGUCGCCAUGACUGCGGAGUGGGGCAAGAUCCACGGAGCUGCGCAUGGGGUGAGCAUAUCGGCCCGUGUUGCUAAAUUCUGGCUGGCUAUCGUUUGGGCUGAGCGGCAGAUAUGGCGAAUUUCAACACCUCAGGUGGCUCAGGUUCGGUUCCUUUACCUCGCUUGUUGUUUUUGGUUGUUAUGUGUUUCCUCGGCAUGUUCUACCUGAAUUGAGUUUCCCUGGAGAGUAAUGAGCUCCUAUGUGGACGCUAAGAAUUAGAGACGUGUAUUUGAGUGCUUGACCCGUUUCGUAAAUAAGAGUAGUGAUCAAGUUCUUAUAAUUCGAGGCGGCCCGACAUUGUUAUGUAGUUUCCUAAUAAGAAUAGUGAUCAAAUUCUUAUAAUUCGAAGUGGUCCGACAUUAUUAUGUAGGAAAAAGAAACUUACAUGCUUUCUAGGUUGAUGGACUGGUGCUUUCACCGUGCCUGACAGAGAAUCAGGCAAGUGGUGGAUGCCUGCAUGCAGUGCUAGCUCAGAUUGUAAUACUGGUUAAAUCAACUCAUAAUCAAUGGGAGUUCUAACGACGUAUUAUACAAUAUACAAGGAGCUAUGGGAUGCUUGUGCUAGACCGUUGAUCACAGUGCCUCACAAGGUGAAAGGGUUUACUACUUUCCACAUGGUUAUAUGGAACAGUGACAAUGCUACUCAUGGGUCAUGGCAUUCACCAACAAGCAUGCUCUCUCCAAGGCAGCGCGUGCGUGUUAGUGUGUGUGGAUCACCACAUUAAUCAGCACCAUAACCAGAUUCUCUCCAAGGCAACAAGAUUCUAGGCAAGAUGAGCCGAAAGACCUGCCUUCAAUCAAUGGAGAAGUGGGAGGAGGCCCCGCUGCUGGAGCACAGGAAGGCGGAGCAUAAUGUGAGCGGCGACGGAGAGGCCCGGCUGGGGCGCCGGCUGUUGGAGGAGAACCGGACGCUGUGGGCGGUGGCGGGGCCAGCCAUCUGCACGCGCUUCUCCACCUUCGGGGUCACCGUUAUCAGCCAGGCCUUCAUGGGCCACAUCGGCUCCACCCAGCUUGCCGCCUACGCCCUCGUCUCCACCGUCCUCAUGCGCUUCAGCAACGGCAUACUGCUGGGCAUGGCGAGCACACUGGAGACGUUGUGCGGGCAGUCGUACGGGGCGAAGCAGUACCACAUGAUGGGCAUCUCCCUGCAGCGCUCCUGGAUCAUCCUGACCGGCUGCGCCGUGCUCAUGCUCCCCAUCCUCAUCUUCACUGAGCCUCUCCUUGUCUCCAUCGGCCAGGACCCCCUGAUCAGCGCUGUCGCGGGGACCAUCUCGCUCUGGUACAUCCCUGUCAUGUUCGCCAACGUCUUCAGCUUCACUCUCCAGAUGUACCUGCAGGCACAGAGCAAGAACAUGGUCAUCACCUACCUUGCAUUUGUCACCCUCGGUCUCCAUGUGUUCCUGCCGUGGCUCUUCACCGUCAGGCUGCACCUUGGGCUCGCUGGGGCCAUGACCUCCAUGGUCAUUGCCAUGUGGAUUCCUGUGUUUGGGCAGCUCAUCUUCGUCUUCUUUGGUGGCUGCCCUCUCACAUGGACCGGGUUCUCCUUCACAGCACUCACCGACCUUGUCCCUAUCCUCAAGUUAUCUCUAUCCUCUGGUGUCAUGCUCUGUUUGGAAUUGUGGUACAGCACCAUAUUGGUGCUCCUUACCGGGUACAUGAAGAAUGCAGAGGUUGCACUUGACGCUCUUUCAAUAUGCCUUAACAUCAAUGGUUGGGAGAUGAUGAUUUCUAUUGGCUUUUUGUCUGCAGCAGGAGUGCGUGUGGCAAAUGAGCUUGGAGCUGGAAGUGCAAGAAGGGCCAAGUUCGCCAUCAUAAAUGUCGUCACCACUUCCUUCUCAAUAGGCCUUGUGUUGUUCGUGUUUUUCCUUUUCUUCCGCGGAAAGCUUUCCUACAUAUUUACUACGAGUGAAGAGGUAGCUGCCGCAGUUGCUGAGCUGUCGCCUCUUCUAGCCUUCUCCAUCUUGUUGAACAGUGUUCAACCAGUGCUAUCAGGUGUUGCUGUUGGUGCGGGUUGGCAAAGUGUAGUUGCCUAUGUCAACAUCACAACAUAUUACUUGAUUGGUAUCCCUCUUGGAGCAAUCCUAGGUUAUGUUCUUGGAUAUCAUGUGAUGGGCAUUUGGGUUGGCAUGCUGCUCGGAACACUGGUCCAAACAAUUGUACUUGUGUUCAUAACAAUCAGGACUGACUGGGAUAAACAGGUAGAGGUUACCGAGGAGAGAUUGAAGAGAUGGUACAUGGAUGGGAACAAAGGGAAGUCAGAUUCAAGGGGAAAUCCAUGAGAUUAAAAAUCUGGCACAAGUAACGAAUCACCAUCAAGGUAGAACUUGUGUGCCCUGCUUGACCAGAGUUUGCGGCGUUUUAGAGGAUAACUACUUGUUCUUUCAAUAUGUUAAGAAUGAAAGGGGUGGAACAUUAGUUGGUGUCGUAGACGUGUCGGAGGUUGUUCCUCAAGAUCGACCAAAUGAUAGCAGUGACGUGUGCUCCACUUGAGAAGAAAAAACAUGUUGCUCAAGGAAAACACUUAAUCUGCCACUGCCUCAGCAUGUAAAAUAUGCCUUGGAUCGCUGUGAGCUGGUGGUACAAGUGUUGUUCUGUAUUGAUGGAUUUUGGUUGUGCUUAGCAAUAGCAAACAUGGUAUUUG